AGUGAACGCUGGCGGUAGGCCUAACACAUGCAAGUCGAACGGCAGCACAGUAAGAGCUUGCUCUUACGGGUGGCGAGUGGCGGACGGGUGAGGAAUACAUCGGAAUCUACUUUUUCGUGGGGGAUAACGUAGGGAAACUUACGCUAAUACCGCAUACGACCUACGGGUGAAAGCAGGGGAUCUUCGGACCUUGCGCGAUUGAAUGAGCCGAUGUCGGAUUAGCUAGUUGGCGGGGUAAAGGCCCACCAAAGCGACGAUCCGUAGCUGGUCUGAGAGGAUGAUGAGCCACACUGGAACUGAGACACGGUCCAGACUCCUACGGGAGGCAGCAGUGGGGAAUAUUGGACAAUGGGCGCAAGCCUGAUCCAGCCAUACCGCGUGGGUGAAGAAGGCCUUCGGGUUGUAAAGCCCUUUUGUUGGGAAAGAAAAGCAGCAGGUUAAUACCCCGCUGUUCUGACGGUACCCAAAGAAUAAGCACCGGCUAACUUCGUG
Molecule: ribosomal RNA, 492 nt
Filed under: uncultured bacterium
Lineage: Bacteria
Description: partial 16S ribosomal RNA
Rfam family: Bacterial small subunit ribosomal RNA
Source: RNAcentral